UACGAAGGGAUCUAGCGUUGCUCGGAUUUACUGGGCGUAAAGCGCGUGUAGGCGGUUUAGUUAGUUAGGCGUGAAAUCCCCGGGCUUAACCCGGGAAUUGCGCUUAAUACUGCUAGACUAGAGUAUGGUAGAGGGUGGUGGAAUUCCCAGUGUAGAGGUGAAAUUCGUAGAUAUUGGGAGGAACACCGAUGGCGAAAGCAGCCACCUGGGCCAUUACUGACGCUCAGACGCGAAAGCGUGGGGAUCAAACAGG
Molecule: ribosomal RNA, 253 nt
Filed under: uncultured bacterium
Lineage: Bacteria
Description: partial 16S ribosomal RNA
Rfam family: Bacterial small subunit ribosomal RNA
Source: RNAcentral